CUACGGAGGGUGCAAGCGUUAAUCGGAAUUACUGGGCGUAAAGGGCGCGUAGGCGGUCUAUCAAGUCAGGUGUGAAAUCCCACGGCUCAACCGUGGAGGUGCAUCUGAAACUGAUAGACUUGAGUAUGGGAGAGGAAAGUGGAAUUCCCGGUGUAGAGGUGAAAUUCGUAGAUAUCAGGAGGAACACCAGUGGCGAAGGCGACUUUCUGGACCAAUACUGACGCUCAGGCGCGAAAGCGUGGGGAGCAAACAGGAUUAGAAACCCUAGUAGUCC
Molecule: ribosomal RNA, 274 nt
Filed under: uncultured bacterium
Lineage: Bacteria
Description: partial 16S ribosomal RNA
Rfam family: Bacterial small subunit ribosomal RNA
Source: RNAcentral